Molecule: transfer RNA, 85 nt
Filed under: Felis catus (domestic cat)
Lineage: Eukaryota; Metazoa; Chordata; Mammalia; Carnivora; Felidae
Also listed under: 1 other name
Rfam family: tRNA
About the family: Transfer RNA (tRNA) molecules are approximately 80 nucleotides in length. Their secondary structure includes four short double-helical elements and three loops (D, anti-codon, and T loops).
Source: Rfam by way of RNAcentral
GCCUGGGUGGCUCAGUCGGUUAAGCGUCUGGCUUCAGCUCAGGUCAUGAUCUCGCAGUUUGUGGGUUCAAGCCCUGCUUCGGGCU